Molecule: long non-coding RNA, 200 nt
Filed under: Hordeum vulgare
Lineage: Eukaryota; Viridiplantae; Streptophyta; Magnoliopsida; Poales; Poaceae
Description: long non-coding RNA (HVUL_LNC011967)
Source: RNAcentral
GAUAGCCUUUUCUGUUUCCUUAUGUUAUUUAUCCUGCUACUCCAACAACUCGACCGAUUCCUACGCCACGCCCGUCCUCGACGCGCCAUCCCACGUCGAGCGGAUCACGGGCACGAUCAAGCUGUUGGUGGCCCGUCGUGAACGCAGCAAGACUCGGCCCUACAUUAUGGAAAGGAAAAACUUACAGACUCUGAACAUAA